Molecule: long non-coding RNA, 144 nt
Organism: Nothoprocta perdicaria
Lineage: Eukaryota; Metazoa; Chordata; Aves; Tinamiformes; Tinamidae
Exons: 3
Source: RefSeq, a predicted model, not a curated record
UGACUGUGAGUUUUGCUCUGGUUCCUGUAGUCCUCUGUGUGCUCCAUCAUAAGCAGGCAACAGGGACGUGCUGGGCCCACGGCUCUUUGAACUCUACCCUUAACGCUGAAGGUAUCCUGACGUGGAACUGGAAUUUGACACACU